This 470-nucleotide ribosomal RNA is filed under the name Tuber whetstonense. Its description in RNAcentral is "eukaryotic LSU rRNA". The stretch from base 102 to 255 matches the Rfam family "5.8S ribosomal RNA". The record is from RNAcentral. Lineage: Eukaryota; Fungi; Ascomycota; Pezizomycetes; Pezizales; Tuberaceae.
UUAUUAUAAUGCGUGGAAAUGCCCCUAAUAAGGGCAUACUCUAUAAAACUCUAAACUUACUGUCUGAGAAGGCCACGUGCCGUAAUCUUUAAACAUUUUAAAACUUUCAACAACGGAUCUCUUGGUUCUCGCAUCGAUGAAGAACGCAGCGAAAUGCGAUAAGUAAUGUGAAUUGCAGAAUUCAGUGAAUCAUCGAAUCUUUGAACGCACAUUGCGCCCUUUGGUAUUCCAUAGGGCAUGCCUGUUCGAGCGUCACUAACAACCCCAUCAUACAAGAGUGUGGUAUUGGCAGAAGUGGGUAGGGCUAGCAGUGCUGGUCCCACUCUGCUUGAAUGAAUAGGCCGGAAAUGCAGACCAUGGCAACAAACUUUCAAAGUAUUUUGAAAUGCUAAAUUAGUUUGGAGCUGGUCAGAAUCCAGGCCAUUGGACCCCCAUUCUGUGUAAAGCAGUAAUGUUGACCUCGGAUCAGG